CCUACGGGUGGCAGCAGUGAGGAAUAUUGGUCAAUGGGCGUAAGCCUGAACCAGCCAAGUCGCGUGAGGGAUGAAGGUUCUAUGGAUCGUAAACCUCUUUUAUAAGGGAAUAAAGUGUGGGACGUGUCCUGUUUUGUAUGUACCUUAUGAAUAAGGCUCGGCUAACUCCGUGCCCGCAGCCGCGGUAAUACGGAGGAUCCGAGCGUUCUCCGGAUUUAUUGGGUUUAAAGGGUGAGUAGGCGGCCUUUUAAGUCCGCGGUGAAAGUCUGUGGCUCAACCAUAGAAUUGCCGUUGAAACUGGGAGGCUUGAGUAUGUUUGAGGCAGGCGGAAUGCGUGGUGUAGCGGUGAAAUGCAUAGAUAUCACGCAGAACCCCGAUUGCGAAGGCAGCAUGCCAGGCCAUGACUGACGCUGAUGCACGAAAGCGUGGGGAUCAAACAGGAUUAGAUACCCUGGUAGUC
RNAcentral lists this ribosomal RNA (460 nucleotides) under uncultured bacterium. RNAcentral's name for it is "partial 16S ribosomal RNA". It matches the Rfam family "Bacterial small subunit ribosomal RNA", at positions 338 to 795 of the family's 1533-position model. The record is from RNAcentral.